This 536-nucleotide ribosomal RNA is filed under the name fungal endophyte. Its description in RNAcentral is "eukaryotic LSU rRNA". The stretch from base 157 to 310 matches the Rfam family "5.8S ribosomal RNA". The record is from RNAcentral. Lineage: Eukaryota; Fungi.
CCCGUUUGGGGGGUUGAUUUGGUUCACUGCUGUGUUGAAAUACCAAUUGUUGCCUCGGCGGAUCAGCCCGCUCCCGGUAAAACGGGACGGCCCGCCAGAGGACCCCUAAACUCUGUUUCUAUAUGUAACUUCUGAGUAAAACCAUAAAUAAAUCAAAACUUUCAACAACGGAUCUCUUGGUUCUGGCAUCGAUGAAGAACGCAGCAAAAUGCGAUAAGUAAUGUGAAUUGCAGAAUUCAGUGAAUCAUCGAAUCUUUGAACGCACAUUGCGCCCGCCAGUAUUCUGGCGGGCAUGCCUGUUCGAGCGUCAUUUCAACCCUCAAGCCCCCGGGUUUGGUGUUGGGGAUCGGCGAGCCUCACGGCAAGCCGGCCCCGAAAUAUAGUGGCGGUCUCGCUGCAGCUUCCAUUGCGUAGUAGUAAAACCCUCGCAACUGGUACGCGGCGCGGCCAAGCCGUUAAACCCCCAACUUCUGAAUGUUGACCUCGGAUCAGGUAGGAAUACCCGCUGAACUUAAGCAUAUCAAUAAGCGGAGGAA